This 206-nucleotide ribosomal RNA is filed under the name uncultured bacterium. RNAcentral describes it as "partial 16S ribosomal RNA". It matches the Rfam family "Bacterial small subunit ribosomal RNA", at positions 568 to 774 of the family's 1533-position model. The record is from RNAcentral.
AGCGUAGACGGUGUGGCAAGUCUGAUGUGAAGGGCAUGGGCUCAACCUGUGGACUGCAUUGGAAACUGUCAUACUUGAGUGCCGGAGGGGUAAGCGGAAUUCCUAGUGUAGCGGUGAAAUGCGUAGAUAUUAGGAGGAACACCAGUGGCGAAGGCGGCUUACUGGACGGUAACUGACGUUGAGGCUCGAAAGCGUGGGAGCAAACA